RNAcentral lists this long non-coding RNA (245 nucleotides) under Linum usitatissimum (flax). Its description in RNAcentral is "long non-coding RNA (LUSI_LNC004734)". The record is from RNAcentral. Lineage: Eukaryota; Viridiplantae; Streptophyta; Magnoliopsida; Malpighiales; Linaceae.
GACAAGAAAAAUAGGUAUGUUGUCAUUAUUUUUUAUUAAUGAGGUGAAUUGUUAUUAAUAGUGGCAAAAAUAAUUACAACAAGUAAAAAUAGGAGAAGAAAAAGCAAACUUGGCGAAGUAGGAUGGCAGCAAAAAAUUAAAAAAAAGGUUGAACAAACCCCAAAAAAAUCCUAUACCAGCAAAGCAAAACAAAAUAAAAUAAAAGUUUGAAAUAUUAAAAAAAUAUUUAUAAGAAAAGAGCAACA